Molecule: ribosomal RNA, 308 nt
Filed under: uncultured eukaryote
Lineage: Eukaryota
Description: partial 18S ribosomal RNA
Rfam family: Eukaryotic small subunit ribosomal RNA
Source: RNAcentral
CCCUUAGAUGUUCUGGGCCGCACGCGCGCUACACUGACGAAGUCAGCGAGCAUGUCCUACGCCGACAGGUGCGGGGAAUCUUGUCAAACUUCGUCGUGAUGGGGAUUGAUUAUUGAAAUUCUUGAUCAUCAACGAGGAAUUCCUAGUAAGCGCAAGUCAGCAGCUUGCGUUGAUUACGUCCCUGCCCUUUGUACACACCGCCCGUCGCUACUACCGAUUGAAUGGUUUAGUGAGGCCUUCGGAUCCGCGACUCGUUUGUGGAGAAGUUGGACAAACUCAGUCAUUUAGAGGAAGUAAAAGUCGUAACA